CCGCUCCUCCGCUCUCUCCACUGGCUUCCAGUUGAAGCUCGCAUCUGCUACAAGACCAUGGUGCUUGCCUACGGAGCUGUGAGGGGAACGGCACCUCAGUACCUCCAGGCUCUGAUCAGGCCCUACACCCAAACAAGGGCACUGCGUUCAUCCACCUCUGGCCUGCUCGCCUCCCUACCACUGAGGAAGUACAGUUCCCGCUCAGCCCAGUCAAAACUGUUCGCUGCUCUGGCCCCCCAAUGGUGGAACAAACUCCCUCACGACGCCAGGACAGCGGAGUCAAUCACCACCUUCCGGAGACACCUGAAACCCCACCUCUUUAAGGAAUACCUAGGAUAGGAUAAGUAAUCCUUCUCACCCCCCCCCCCUUUAAGAUUUAGAUGCACUAUUGUAAAGUGACUAUUCUACUGGAUGUCAUAAGGUGAAUGCACCAAUUUGUAAGUCGCUCUGGAUAAGAGCGUCUGCUAAAUGACUUAAAUGUAAUGUAAUUAAAUAACAUGGGAUGAAAAAGGUUACGGGCUCAGGAAGUAGUUCACUACUCACCAGAACUCAUUGGGUGGAAUCAAAAAUAGUAGAGUAGCAAAGCCACUCACAGACACUUGGAAAGUACUGCAGAUUUACAUGAAAGUACUGGAGAUUUACAUGAAAGUACUGCAAAUGUACAUGAAAGUACUGCAAAUGUACAUGAAAGUACUGCAGCUUUACAUGAAAGUACUGCAAAUGUACAUGAAAGUACUGCAGAUUUACAUUAAAGUACUGCAAAUGUACAUGAAAGUACAGCAAAUGUACAUGAAAGUACUGCAGCUUUACAUGAAAGUACUGCAGCUUAACAAAGUACUGCAUCUUUACAUUGAAGUACUGCACAUUUGCAAAGUACUGCAGCUUUACAAAGUACUGCACCUUUACAAAGUACUGCAACUUUACAAAGUACUGCAGCUUUACAAAGUACUGCCACCUUUACAAAGUACUGCACCUUUACAAAGUACCGCAACUUUACAAAGUACUGCAACUUUAUAAAGUACUGCAGCUUUACAAAGUACUGCAACUUUAUAAAGUACUGCAGCUUUACAAAGUACUGCACCUUUACAAAGUACUGCAGCUUUACAAAGUACUGCAGCUUUACAAAGUACUGCAACUUUACAUGUCCACUGAUUCACCUAAUUGCAUCUAUCUGCCAAUUGGAAAGGCAACCGUGUUCUGUAGGAUUGUUGAAGGUCUGUAACCGUGUUCUGUAGGAUUGUUGAAGGUCUGUAACCGUGUUCUGUAGGAUUGUUGAAGGUCUGUAACCGUGUUCUGUAGGAUUGUUGAAGGUCUGUAACCGUGUUCUGUAGGAUUGUUGAAGGUCUGUAACCGUGUUCUGUAGGAUUGAUGAAGGUCUGUAACCGUGUUCUGUAGGAUUGAUGAAGGUCUGUAACCGUGUUCUGUCUGAUUGAUGAAGGUCUGUAACCGUGUCCUGUCUGAUUGAUGAAGGUCUGUAACCGUGUUCUGUCUGAUUGUUGAAGGUCUGUAACCGUGUUCUGUCUGAUUGAUGAAGGUCUGUAACCGUGUUCUGUAGGAUUGAUGAAGGUCUGUAACCGUGUCCUGUGUGAUUGAUGAAGGUCUGUAACCGUGUCCUGUGUGAUUGUUGAAGGUCUGUAACCGUGUUCUGUAGGAUUGAUGAAGGUCUGUAACCGUGUUCUGUAGGAUUGAUGAAGGUCUGUAACCGUGUUCUGUCUGAUUGAUGAAGGUCUGUAACCGUGUUCUGUAGGAUUGUUGAAGGUCUGUAACCGUGUUCUGUAGGAUUGUUGAAGGUCUGUAACCGUGUCCUGUGUGAUUGAUGAAGGUCUGUAACCGUGUUCUGUAGGAUUGAUGAAGGUCUGUAACCGUGUCCUGUGUGAUUGAUGAAGGUCUGUAACCGUGUUCUGUAGGAUUGAUGAAGGUCUGUAACCGUGUCCUGUGUGAUUGUUGAAGGUCUGUAACCGUGUCCUGUGUGAUUGAUGAAGGUCUGUAACCGUGUCCUGUGUGAUUGAUGAAGGUCUGUAACCGUGUCCUGUGUGACUGAUGAAGGUCUGUAACCGUGUCCUGUGUGACUGAUGAAGGUCUGUAACCGUGUCCUGUGUGACUGAUGAAGGUCUGUAACUGUAUAGCAACAGUUCAGUUAAAACCAGUCUUGGAAACACCAACAGAUAUUGCCAUACAUUUGACAGCCCUUUUACAUGUCCCCAAUAUUCCAUUGGGUUGGAGGCC
Long non-coding RNA from Oncorhynchus keta (chum salmon), 2226 nucleotides. RefSeq lists it as uncharacterized. Lineage: Eukaryota; Metazoa; Chordata; Actinopteri; Salmoniformes; Salmonidae. The transcript is spliced from 9 exons. The record is from RefSeq and is a predicted model, not a curated record.